This 399-nucleotide unclassified non-coding RNA is filed under the name soil metagenome. RNAcentral describes it as "partial contains 5.8S ribosomal RNA, internal transcribed spacer 2, and large subunit ribosomal RNA". The stretch from base 1 to 120 matches the Rfam family "5.8S ribosomal RNA", at positions 35 to 154 of the family's 154-position model. The record is from RNAcentral.
GAUGAAGAACGCAGCGAAAUGCGAUACGUAAUGUGAAUUGCAGAAUCCCGUGAACCAUCGAGUCUUUGAACGCAAGUUGCGCCCGAAGCCUCGGCUAAGGGCACGUCUGCCUGGGCGUCACGCAUCGCGUCUCCCCCAAACCGCCAAGGCGGAGGGGAAGGAAGAUGGCUUCCCGUGCCUCACCCGGCGCGGUUGGCCUAAAUUUGGAGCCCGCGGCACUUAGCUCUCGCGGCGAUAGGUGGUGAACAAGGCCUUGGCCGUGCAAACAACCCGCUGCGAAGCUCUAUGUCACGUGCGCUCGUCGGACCCUUUGAAGUUGCCUUCGGUGACUUAAAACCUUUGCGACCCCAGGUCAGGCGGGGCUACCCGCUGAAUUUAAGCAUAUCAAUAAGCGGAGGA